CUCCUGUCUGCUGGGCUCUGUGGGGAACACGUCCAGUAGGUGUCAGUCCCAGUGUUUCUCCUGUCUGCUGGGCUCUGUGGGGAACACGUCCAGUAGGUGUCAGUCCCAGUGUUUCUCCUGUCUGCUGGGCUCUGUGGGGAACACGUCCAGUAGGUGUCAGUCCCAGUGUUUCUCCUGUCUGCUGGGCUCUGUGGGGAACACGUCCAGUAGGUGUCAGUCCCAGUGUUUCUCCUGUCUGCUGGGCUCUGUGGGGAACACGUCCAGUAGGUGUCAGUCCCAGUGUUU
Oncorhynchus keta (chum salmon) is the source of this 285-nucleotide long non-coding RNA. RefSeq lists it as uncharacterized. NCBI's taxonomy places the organism in Eukaryota, Metazoa, Chordata, Actinopteri, Salmoniformes, Salmonidae. The record is from RefSeq and is a predicted model, not a curated record. The transcript has 3 exons.